UAGGGAAUCUUCGGCAAUGGACGAAAGUCUGACCGAGCAACGCCGCGUGAGUGAAGAAGGUUUUCGGAUCGUAAAACUCUGUUGUUAGAGAAGAACAAGGACGUUAGUAACUGAACGUCCCCUGACGGUAUCUAACCAGAAAGCCACGGCUAACUACGUGCCAGCAGCCGCGGUAAUACGUAGGUGGCAAGCGUUGUCCGGAUUUAUUGGGCGUAAAGCGAGCGCAGGCGGUUUCUUAAGUCUGAUGUGAAAGCCCCCGGCUCAACCGGGGAGGGUCAUUGGAAACUGGGAGACUUGAGUGCAGAAGAGGAGAGUGGAAUUCCAUGUGUAGCGGUGAAAUGCGAGAUAUAUGGAGGAACACCAGUGGCGAAGGCGGCUCUCUGGUCUGUAACUGACGCUGAGGCUCGAAAGCGUGGGGAGCAAACAGG
RNAcentral lists this ribosomal RNA (428 nucleotides) under Gemmatimonadota bacterium. RNAcentral describes it as "Gemmatimonadetes bacterium partial 16S ribosomal RNA". It matches the Rfam family "Bacterial small subunit ribosomal RNA", at positions 355 to 776 of the family's 1533-position model. The record is from RNAcentral. Lineage: Bacteria; Pseudomonadati; Gemmatimonadota.